UACGUAGGUGGCAAGCGUUGUUCGGAAUCAUUGGGCGUAAAGCGCGCGUAGGCGGCCCUGUAAGUCCGUUGUGAAAGUCAAAGGCUCAACCUUUGAAAGCCGAUGGAUACUGCAGGGCUAGAGUCCGGAAGAGGCGAGUGGAAUUCCUGGUGUAGCGGUGGAAUGCGCAGAUAUCAGGAGGAACACCAAUAGCGAAGGCAGGUCUCUGGGCCACUACUGACGCUGAGAAGCGAAAGCAUGGGGAGCGAACAGG
This 253-nucleotide ribosomal RNA is filed under the name uncultured bacterium. RNAcentral's name for it is "partial 16S ribosomal RNA". It matches the Rfam family "Bacterial small subunit ribosomal RNA", at positions 524 to 776 of the family's 1533-position model. The record is from RNAcentral.